Taeniopygia guttata (zebra finch) is the source of this 5286-nucleotide long non-coding RNA. The record is from Ensembl. Lineage: Eukaryota; Metazoa; Chordata; Aves; Passeriformes; Estrildidae.
CGGGGUGGUUUGUGGGGCCGAGCCAGACGAGCCGGCCAGGGGUCAGCAUCUUGUGGCAAAUGUGCUUCAUCCCUAAACGCCAUCAGGUUUGUGGGCACGCUUCUGCCAGAGGGAUCGAAAAUGCCUGAAGCGUUGCUUCUGGGAAGACGCUGGAUAACGCGGAUUCAAACAAGGCAUUAAAGCAACUGUGCUCACGCUUUCGCAGCAGAGAAUGGAGAUGGGAGCACUCCCUGCCUGCCCUGGGCUCAUGGAUGUGCAAUUCUCAGAAGUACUUGAUCGUGUCGCCUGAUUUUAAAUUGUUGUACUCUGAACUAGGAAUGCUGCUGGAUGGUUUGGAGUUGGAUACCUGGGUGCAGUACUCCAAUGCUAAUUAAAAAGAAGUAUGCCAAACAUGAGGGUCUGGUCUCCCAACCCUUCUUCAUGGAAUGUGAGCCUGAGGGUGAGCGGAGGUGUUAAAAUUUGGGACCUACCUGACUGUGAGCUACGUAUGAGUCACCUUCAAGACAGGGUAGCUGACUCCUGCAGUAACUGGAAUCUGUGCAGCGCUGUGAAAUGCUAGUUUAGAGAGCGGACGUAAUAGCACUCUCACUCACAACCAAGAAUGCAAUCAGCCUCCUCCUUUCUGGAUGGGAACCGUGUUAGGAGCCAGGCUCACUCCAUGAGCCCACUUUUCUGGGAGAAAAAGCAAUGUGGCAAGAAAUGUACAUGCCCAGACCAAAUGGCAGCAAACUUAUGGUAAAGUCCCUGCAUAUAAUCUAUAUUUUAAUUAAUACUCUGCAUUAUCUAAUCAACAGAAAUCUUCUGGCACGCACGGUCUGGUUUGCAACCUAUUCAGCAGAGAAGCUUUUCUAGCCUCUCCAUAGAUCAGAGUAAUUAAGCAAAGCUGCUGCAGGGGCUUCCCCCCAUAGCUUCUUGAAUACUGGGAGUGGGGGAAUGGCACUGAAAAAACCCAGGCAACCUCUGGCAACCUCCCUCAGCCCUGGAAGGCUCUCUGGAAGAGAAAGAGGGGAAAAAAAUUGCCUUCCUUUGCUGCUGCUGUUGAGCUGGUCUCGCUCCCGCUGUCGCAGUGCCAGUGCCGAAAGCCCAUGCUGCAUCCCUCACUCGGAGCGUACUGUCCGUCCUAGAGCAGAUGCAAAGGCGGCACUGGGACCGCUCAACUUCAGAGCCUCUCCAGCAGCCUCCCAAGGAGAAGAGCACAGCUCUCCUCACAAUAUGCUGUGGGGGAGGAGGAAGGAAGGACUUUGGCCCUGUUUGCUUGUGCUAAUUGAUGGCUUCUGUUGCAGCUAUUCACACUUUUAAAAGAUGGUAACAAGUCUACUGAUUUAAAAGCAAAGAAUAAAAACCCACCAGCCUCAGCAGUGCGUUGGGUGCAGACAAAGGUUCGUUGAAGAGCACUCGGCAGAGGCACAGCAAGGGGCUGGGCAGAAGAAAUGACCCACCUGAAAACACUGAGCUCUGUGCAGAUGCACAAAAUUCCUAAAAUAUUCCACUUGUUGGGAUAUACGGGGACAUUCUCCUCUACAGUGGUGGGCUUGCAAGUCAGGGCUCAGCCCUGGCAGUGGCCUGCUCUGUGCUUAACCUCCAUGCCUCACCUUGCUCAGCUGUGAUGGCUUCUGACUUCUUUAUAAAACAUGUUCUGUGCCUCUGACUUUAGUGCUCUCCAAGUGAGAAACAUCUUACUUCAUGCAGCCUCCUCUCUGUGUACCGGGUCUCCUGUGCUGGUGUGGACAGGUGCCCUAGAGCUGUUUGGAGAAGGGCUCUGCACCCUGGCUCUCCCACCCUUUUCCUUGCAGGCAGAUAUUGUCUUCUUCUGCUGGGAGAGCACUGUACCUUGCUUAGCAGUUUACAUGGUAAAUCUAUAUUGCAAGUUGGAGGUGUGAUCACAACAUGCCUGGGUGAAACCCUGCUUGCUUUAAUUUAGUGAGCUGAGAUAUUAAUUUCAGAGGAAGAGGCAGCAGUAUGCACUUUGGAGCCUAUGGUCUGGGUGGGCUUGCAGAGCCUGUGGUGUUUCAGCUUCCUGGCAUCGGCACCCAGGCAGCUAGACGGAGCGAGCUGGGAUGCGUGAAUAAGCAGCACAGCAAGAGACAACUGCGCUGAGCAGAGGGAGCUGGGCUCCAGCCACACGCCAGGGAUGCCACGGGCUCAGCGGGGCGAAGCCUGGGCAUUUAACAAAGCCCUGCUGCCUUCUACCCGCCUUCCAGGGGACCCACUCAAUGCACGUCCCUACCAGCAACUCAGUAAUUCUGCUUUAAGGAAGGCAGACCCGGUUAAAGGCACAGGGAAUUUAUCUCUGCCAGAGAGACCCCUGGCAGCCGCCGAGGUGAGUCAGCUGCUGCUGGCUGCUCGUCGGGUGCCUCCGGAGCGGCCGCGGAGGGGGGAGCUGUGUCCUCCCACCCUGCUGCCCUCCCUGCAGCCCUCAGCGGCAUCUGCACACUGGCCUUUGCUUAUUCUUGCAGCCCUCUGCACGCUCAUUGUGAUUCACAUCUGGGUGCACUCAGCCUGGCAAUUCCUUAUUCUGAGAAGGUCACCCGAAAUAUGUGUUUAACAGAAGCGCUCUCUAUUUUUAACAUAGAGAGACCUCAUAAAAAGUCAGAAGAGUAAUGCAAAAUAAUAAACGAGAUAUUUAGUCAUAGCUCUCCAUCACAUUCGCAUUAUAAACAGUUCAGAAAUUAUUUCCACUUGUGAGACAAGAUUUAAUUGUAAAUCAUGGGAAAUUGUGAGAUAUAUACUGUCUGGAGCAGGGUGAUAAACAUAUUUCUGGGUCUGAAGGGAGAAAAUAAAGCAAAACGUGUGUCAUAGUCUGUGUGGACCCUGAGCACAUUUAAACCAAAGUGCAUGCCACCCAGGCAGCAGCUGCUGUUCUCUAGAGCAGGACCAUCAGCUUUCUGCUGAAGGCUCUUUCGUUUUAGCUACACUGAAGAGCACCUUUCUGCUGUGAUUUUGUGGUAACCAAGGCUUUGUUACUGCUUUCUUCCCAUGAAGCUGCUUUUAUUCCAACUUAAGCUGCUCCUUAAGCAGCACAAAACCAGCUCACAACUUAAAUGGCAAAUGCACGGCAGCAACUUUCCUAGCUGCAGAAGGUGAUAUAGACAAAUCUGUUGCUGAUACCAGCAAGUACUGAGCUGAGCCCCUGCUUCUCAUUUGGAGUGCAUUGCCAUGUCUCCUCUGACAUGUUUCUUCAUAGCACUGAAAAAGAAGCACUUGGAGAAACAGCUUUUCUACUUGGAGAAAGCUUUGACUCCAGGGUUGUAACUCAAGUGCUGUAGUAGGUAAUCAGCAGAAAUCAAAGCACUUACAGUUUUUUCCAAUGUAAAAAGAGGAAAAAUCAAUUUCUUUUAAAUAGUGGAAGCUGAUUUUUCAGUUGGAAGAAACCUAUGUGGGGUGAACACUUGGAUUUCUCAUUUAUUUGUGGGUUUCAACUAUUCAGUCGAGUUGGUACUGCUGGUGGAGCAGCCGCUGGUCUUCAUGUGUGUGCUUGUGGACUGCCCACCCUGAGACUGAGCCACCAUCCUUCAGCAAACAGUGCUGCGUCUGUGCCUCCUCUUCUGGCUGUGUGAUUGCCAGAGACAGGGAACAGUCUGCUUCAGUUGGUGCCCUGCUUAUCCAGUGAGUAAAACGAGCAAACAGCAACAGCUUUGAAAGGGGAGCAGCCCCAGUCUGGGAGCAAAGCAGCUCUCCUGGUGCUGAAAACAAAUAGAAUGUGGAAAUGUGGAGAGGAGAAAGGAGCUGUUGGGUUGCACCUAGCCAGGAAGGCUUGAGUACCUACCUGGUUGAAAGCUUGAAAGUUGAUAAGAAAUAGACACUUCUCAGACCUUUUACCUUGCUUUUCCAGGGUAGUACACACACAGGUUCAUACUGCAGUUUUCUUACAAGUUCAUGUAUAUAAUACUUCACAACUGAAAUACUGUACUGAAAUCUAAAGAAAUUUUAAACUUAAUGUUUACAGUACAAUACAGCUGGUUUCCAGCAUCAGGGAAAUUUUAAGACUGGAGUGGUUCUAACUUUACCAUGUCCACCUGAACACCCAAGUAAUGCUACAGAACUGUAUCCUCCUUCACCGCCCUCCUGCAUCCCCUCUCCUGGGCUUACCCAGCUCCAGAAAACAUUGCCUUAUGAUGCACAUAAUUUUUUACUAACUGGAAAUAGGAAUCUUGCUCUAUCCAUUAGUUAGUGUAUAUGCAGUUUGUAUAUAUAAUAUUUAUAUUUUUCCCCAAAGUUGUGAAAUAUAUAAAAUAUAAUUUCUCUAGCUGAGAGCUCAUCAUUCCCAUGACAAGGUGCAAUCAAUAAAUUAUGCACCACUUGUGGUUAUUCUGCAUGUCAACUCAUAUUUCCAUGUCGCUGUCCUGACUGUUACUGAGUGUUUGUGUUGUUGUACCUUUCCACCUCCUCAGUGUUGAUUUAGGAGUUAUUAUUCUGGGCUCAUAGUAACUGCAAGAAAAUCAAGUUCCAAGUGUUUCUGCCAAAAGAAGGAAAUGAAAUGAGCAAGUCAACAGAAAAUUCCACUUGUCAAACACCAUUUGCUUACGACUACAGCUUUGUUAAGGGAACUUGCAUUCGGACAAGUUACCCAAAGGAAACAAUUUGCCUUUGCGGUGGGAUAACCCUUGUGCCCGGCAAGGACUCUUGGUCGCGACAGCUGUGGUCCUCAAAUGAGCGAACAGGAAAAAAAACCAAAGCCACUUCUGACACUUACAAAUUAUAUCUCCUGAAUAAUGCAUGACUCAUCCAGAUUGGCUACAGGAGGGGGGUACGGGGGGGAUGCUUUUUCAAUGGACAACCAGACGGAUGAGGAUUGUAUUAUAAGAAGAGUUUGACAUACCAAGAAGGGGGGAAAAAAAGCAUAAAAAAGCCCAAGUACUCACACACACACUUUGAGAUUGACUGUCAAAUCAUUUCACAUCUGUACCUAAAGCAAACAGACAUAAUGCUAACAGCUUGCUGGAGCUCAGAAAUGCCACCCACUAAUCAGUCCACCUGUGGAAUUCUCAGUCCAUCUUGCAAGUCGUGUACCCGAUUGCCAAGACGCCUGACAAGAAAAUGUAUAUUAAAAUGUUGAGUAAGACUAGAAAUACAAUGUGGUGUAGUAUAAACAGAAUGCACUUACUGGGCAGGAAAACAGAGAUGCUUUCUAAUUCCUCUCACCGUGACCCGGUGCCGCUUGCUCCUGCCUUUGCUGGGACUGGAUGGCAGAGACUGCUUGCUGCCCGAAAGGCACGUUCACCUCCUGUGCAUGAUUGUGUCUCCUCCUGCUUUUGUGAAAAAAAUAAAAAAGAAAAAAAAAAAAAA